AAAUGCAAAAUUGCAGUUUUAUUUUCUCAGAGAUCGCAUGGCACUUUCUGAUUUCUGAAUAUUUAAUUUGUAUUAAGACUGAAAAUUGUUAGAUUUUUUCGCCAGGAAAAUCUUUUGUUGCGUGUACUGUUUAUCUCUGCGGCAUUUUAUCCCUUUUAAAUUAUGUCUGGUCGGCAAGGUGGAAAGAAGAAACCAUUAAAGGCUCCGAAAAAGGGUGGUGCAGAUAUGGAUGAGGAUGAUGCUGCAUUAAAACAGAAGAAGAGAGAGGAAGAAAAAGCUUUGAAAGAAGCAAGAGAGAAAGCUUCUAAAGGUCCAUUAGGUGUUAGUGGAAUUAAAAAAUCUGGCAAAAAGUGAAAUGAAAAUAUUCGACUAAGGCAAAAAAAUAUUUUUAUCAACAUCAUCUUGAAAUUCAUCUUGCUUGGGAUCAAGAUUCAUGUACAUUAUGUCAUUUAAACUUUCUAACAAAUAAAAUUGUUUUAAAACCUA
Molecule: long non-coding RNA, 486 nt
Organism: Uloborus diversus
Lineage: Eukaryota; Metazoa; Arthropoda; Arachnida; Araneae; Uloboridae
Exons: 5
Source: RefSeq, a predicted model, not a curated record